RNAcentral lists this ribosomal RNA (407 nucleotides) under uncultured bacterium. RNAcentral's name for it is "partial 16S ribosomal RNA". It matches the Rfam family "Bacterial small subunit ribosomal RNA", at positions 30 to 526 of the family's 1533-position model. The record is from RNAcentral.
AUUGAACGCUGGCGGCAGGCCUAACACAUGCAAGUCGAGCGGAGCGGUGGACGGGUGCGUAAUGCCUAGGAAUCUGCCUGGUAGUGGGGGAUAACGUCCGGAAACGGGCGCUAAUAUCGCAUACUAUCAGAUGAGCCUAGGCCGGAGUAGCUAGUGGGUGGGGUAAAGGACUACCCAGGCGACGAUCCGUAACUGGUCUGAGAGGAGGAUCAGUCACACUGGAACUGAGACACGGGCCAGACUCCUACGGGAGGCAGCAGUGGGGAAUAUUGGACAAUGGGCGAAAGUCUGAUACAGCCAGGCCGCGUGUGUGAAGAAGGUCUUCGGAUUGUAAAGCACUUUAAGUUGGGAGGCGUUACCAACAGAAUAAGCACCGGCUAACUCCGUGCCAGCAGCCGCGGUAAUAC